AUUGAACGCUGGCGGCAUGCUUUACACAUGCAAGUCGAACGGCAGCGCGGGCUUCGGCCUGGCGGCGAGUGGCGAACGGGUGAGUAAUACAUCGGAACGUGCCCAGUAGUGGGGGAUAGCUCGGCGAAAGCCGGAUUAAUACCGCAUACGACCUGAGGGUGAAAGCGGGGGAUCUUCGGACCUCGCGCUAUUGGACCGGCCGAUGGCAGAUUAGCUAGUUGGUGGGGUAAAGGCCUACCAAGGCGACGAUCUGUAGCUGGUCUGAGAGGACGACCAGCCACACUGGGACUGAGACACGGCCCAGACUCCUACGGGAGGCAGCAGUGGGGAAUUUUGGACAAUGGGCGAAAGCCUGAUCCAGCAAUGCCGCGUGUGUGAUGAAGGCCUUCGGGUUGUAAAGCACUUUUGGCGGGAACGAAAAGGACUGUGCCAAUACCACGGUUCGAUGACGGUACCCGCAGAAUAAGCACCGGCUAACUACGUG
This 484-nucleotide ribosomal RNA is filed under the name uncultured bacterium. RNAcentral's name for it is "partial 16S ribosomal RNA". It matches the Rfam family "Bacterial small subunit ribosomal RNA", at positions 29 to 507 of the family's 1533-position model. The record is from RNAcentral.